Esox lucius (northern pike) is the source of this 1153-nucleotide long non-coding RNA. NCBI's taxonomy places the organism in Eukaryota, Metazoa, Chordata, Actinopteri, Esociformes, Esocidae. The record is from Ensembl.
CCCUGAUCAGUUACUGUCAUGUAGAUACAGACUGAUCCCUGAUCAGUUACUAUCUUGUAGAUACAGACUGAUCCCUGAUCAGUUACUGUCUUGUAGAUAUAGGCUGGUCCCAAGACAGGAUGAUAACAGGAUAAUGUAAAUACAAACUACUUUGUAAAUAAGGAUUUAACGUGCUGACUAUUCCACACAUGUUAGCCCCUCCCCUCUAAGCAUUAACCUGGCUGUAAACCCUAACUAUCUGGACAAACAAAAGGCCUAAACAGAACUGUCCAGCUCCCAGAAUCCUCUUCAGACCAGUGUGUUCUGUUAGCCAACAAACUGCUGAAAAACACAUCACACCAGGAAAUGAUUCCUUAUCUUGAUACAUUUCUCCAAAUCCCAGAAAGCAGCCGGGUUCCACCCCUCCCUCUGAUCAAGGCCCCGCCCCAUCAAGACCCCACCCCGCCCCAUCAAGACCCCACCCCGCCCCAUCACUACACUGCCUUUCAAGUGAGCUGUCUUUUUGUACUCUGUAUGCCAGGACCAGUGGGGGAGCUGUUCAAGAAAAUAACUCGGCACUGAAAUCCCCAGCUCACACUGUAAAACUCUUUAAAGUGGCUUUAUUCUCAAACUCGUUUACAACUCUGAAUCAGCAGUCUUAUCUUAACGGUAAACACAAUCAUCUGAGGAAUCAGUAACUGGAGAGAGAUUAAACAAUUGAUGCUGUGGACAUUCUGCUUUGACUGACACCUUAAAGACAUACCAGCCAGUACAUGAUGAUUGCUGUAGAAAUGGAAGUCUUACAAUGAAAAGAAACAACCUGUUGUUGAACUGAUUUCUUUAAUACAAAAUGCCUUCUGUCUGUUUUUCUAGUUCAUGACGUCUGAAUUUAAUAAACUUUUCUGUGGAGUAAAUGUGGUGUUUUUGGCUCCUCCCUUACACAUGCAGCAAAUCAUGUGAUCAGCUCCAGGGCUAUCACUACUCUCCACAUGUUUUACUCCAAAAUCCAACAGGAUGUGCCGGCUUUUGCUGCAGCCCUUCUCAAAUACAACUAGCUGUAAUGCAUUUUUAAUAAUUACUUGUGUUUGUAUUCGGUUUGGAGAGAAUAUCUGCAGUCAGACUUAACUACCUAGUGUCUCCCCCCCCGUGUAGACUUAACUACCCAGUGCCCCCC